RNAcentral lists this ribosomal RNA (476 nucleotides) under Clostridium botulinum. RNAcentral's name for it is "bacterial SSU rRNA". It matches the Rfam family "Bacterial small subunit ribosomal RNA", at positions 1 to 499 of the family's 1533-position model. Lineage: Bacteria; Bacillati; Bacillota; Clostridia; Eubacteriales; Clostridiaceae. The record is from RNAcentral.
CUGAGUUUGAUCCCCUGGCUCAGGACGAACGCUGGCGGCGUGCCUAACACAUGCAAGUCGAGCGAUGAAGCUUCUUCGGAAGUGGAUUAGCGGCGGACGGGUGAGUAACACGUGGGCAACCUGCCUCAUAGAGAGGGAUAGCCUUUCGAAAGGAAGAUUAAUACCUCAUAAGAUUGUAGUUUCGCAUGAAACGGCAAUAAAAGGAGCAAUCCGCUAUGAGAUGGGCCCGCGUCGCAUUAGCUAGUUGGUAAGGUAAUGGCUUACCAAGGCGACGAUGCGUAGCCGACCUGAGAGGGUGAUCGGCCACAUUGGGACUGAGACACGGCCCAGACUCCUACGGGAGGCAGCAGUGGGGAAUAUUGCACAAUGGGGGAAACCCUGAUGCAGCAACGCCGCGUGAGUGAUGAAGGUCUUCGGAUUGUAAAACUCUGUCUUUGGGGACGAUAAUGACGGACCCAAGGAGGAAGCCACGGUAA